AAAAAUCUGGGAAUAAUAUCCUCCGGAUUUUGAAUCAUCUGACCAAAUAAAAGUGUCCACAAAAUUUAACCCAUAAGUAUCCUUUAUUAAUCACUUCUUAAUAAUGUGCAUAGUACAAAAUUUUCCAUGCGGCAACUAAGUUGAUUGAAGGGAUUGCAAUUCUGUAGCACAGGCUUCAACAAUGAAAAAGCAAGAUAAAAUCGUAAUGGAUGAACACUUAUCUCCAUGUUACUUGAGUUUUUCAAAUAGCUUUGGGGCAACACAUUUGUCAAUGCAUUGCCAAUAAUCAAAAUACUGUCCA
This 301-nucleotide unclassified non-coding RNA is filed under the name Hevea brasiliensis (rubber tree). The record is from RNAcentral. Lineage: Eukaryota; Viridiplantae; Streptophyta; Magnoliopsida; Malpighiales; Euphorbiaceae.